CAAGAGUUUCUCCAGGGUGCUUGGUGUUGAGGCAACAGGCCCCACUGAGUAGAAAAGACGUAGAAGUAACUUGCAUGAAAUAGCUAUGCAAAAUGCAACUGGAAGAGCCUUGUUUGCACGCAGACAUGUUCCUGAGAAUAAUGUAGAUACUGCAUUUGAUUUCACACUAGUAAACAUUAUAAAGAUAGAGACAAUUGUUAAAAAAAAAAAAACUAUCCAGAAGAAUGUACAGCUUCAGCUGUGCUUCCAGUCCUGGAUUUAGCCCAAAGACAGAAAAGAUAAUUGCCCAGAUCUGCUGAGAACAAUGAUACAAAAGGCCUACAAGUACCUCCAAUGGGAGUAUUUGAAGUAGGAACUUUUUAUGCAAUGUGUAAUUGAAAGCUAUUUGAAAAGUAUCACAGUCAGGUCUGUUUUACUAUGCCUUGAAUGCUACCAGAUUCUGUAGGCAGUUAAU
RNAcentral lists this long non-coding RNA (454 nucleotides) under Homo sapiens (human). RNAcentral's name for it is "non-protein coding lnc-C8orf34-2:1". Lineage: Eukaryota; Metazoa; Chordata; Mammalia; Primates; Hominidae. The record is from RNAcentral.